UUUUGAUUUCCCACUCAAGUC
RNAcentral lists this non-coding RNA (21 nucleotides) under Caenorhabditis elegans. The record is from RNAcentral. Lineage: Eukaryota; Metazoa; Nematoda; Chromadorea; Rhabditida; Rhabditidae.